This 390-nucleotide ribosomal RNA is filed under the name Triticum aestivum (bread wheat). RNAcentral's name for it is "partial small subunit ribosomal RNA". Lineage: Eukaryota; Viridiplantae; Streptophyta; Magnoliopsida; Poales; Poaceae. The record is from RNAcentral.
AUGCCUUGCCGACGUUAUUUAUGUUCUGAUGUUCCAGAUGAGCAUGCUCUAAGCUUAGAUCUUGGGCAGACACAACAAUUCUCGUUGCAUCAUCUCAUGAUUGCAACAGGAAAUUUUAGUAGACAAAAAUUUCUUGGUAAGGGCUCUUUAGCUAAGGUUUACAGAGGAGUUCUUCCAGACCAAGACGAUAAAGCGGUUGCCGUCAAACGAUUUGUCAAAAUAAAAAAUCACGGGCGUGAUAUGGCUUUCAAACGAGAAGCUGAAGUUAUAAGGGUGCCUGUCCACAACAAUAUAUUGAGAUUGAUAGGGUAUUGCAUGGAACGAAAGGAGCGCCUGUUGGUUUAUCCUUUCAUGGAGAAUUUGAGUCUUUCUUCUAAGUUAGAAGAAUGA